RNAcentral lists this ribosomal RNA (1362 nucleotides) under Mycolicibacterium mucogenicum. Its description in RNAcentral is "bacterial SSU rRNA". It matches the Rfam family "Bacterial small subunit ribosomal RNA". The record is from RNAcentral. Lineage: Bacteria; Bacillati; Actinomycetota; Actinomycetes; Mycobacteriales; Mycobacteriaceae.
UGCAGUCGACGGANGGCCCUUCGGGGUACUCGAGUGGCGAACGGGUGAGUAACACGUGGGUGAUCUGCCCUGCACUUUGGGAUAAGCCUGGGAAACUGGGUCUAAUACCGAAUAGGACCACGCGCUUCAUGGUGUGUGGUGGAAAGCUUUUGCGGUGUGGGAUGGGCCCGCGGCCUAUCAGCUUGUUGGUGGGGUAAUGGCCUACCAAGGCGACGACGGGUAGCCGGCCUGAGAGGGUGACCGGCCACACUGGGACUGAGAUACGGCCCAGACUCCUACGGGAGGCAGCAGUGGGGAAUAUUGCACAAUGGGCGCAAGCCUGAUGCAGCGACGCCGCGUGAGGGAUGACGGCCUUCGGGUUGUAAACCUCUUUCAAUAGGGACGAAGCGCAAGUGACGGUACCUAUAGAAGAAGCACCGGCCAACUACGUGCCAGCAGCCGCGGUAAUACGUAGGGUGCGAGCGUUGUCCGGAAUUACUGGGCGUAAAGAGCUCGUAGGUGGUUUGUCGCGUUGUUCGUGAAAACUCACAGCUUAACUGUGGGCGUGCGGGCGAUACGGGCAGACUAGAGUACUGCAGGGGAGACUGGAAUUCCUGGUGUAGCGGUGGAAUGCGCAGAUAUCAGGAGGAACACCGGUGGCGAAGGCGGGUCUCUGGGCAGUAACUGACGCUGAGGAGCGAAAGCGUGGGGAGCGAACAGGAUUAGAUACCCUGGUAGUCCACGCCGUAAACGGUGGGUACUAGGUGUGGGUUCCUUCCUUGGGAUCCGUGCCGUAGCUAACGCAUUAAGUACCCCGCCUGGGGAGUACGGCCGCAAGGCUAAAACUCAAAGGAAUUGACGGGGGCCCGCACAAGCGGCGGAGCAUGUGGAUUAAUUCGAUGCAACGCGAAGAACCUUACCUGGGUUUGACAUGCACAGGACGCCGGCAGAGAUGUCGGUUCCCUUGUGGCCUGUGUGCAGGUGGUGCAUGGCUGUCGUCAGCUCGUGUCGUGAGAUGUUGGGUUAAGUCCCGCAACGAGCGCAACCCUUGUCCUAUGUUGCCAGCGGGUUAUGCCGGGGACUCGUAGGAGACUGCCGGGGUCAACUCGGAGGAAGGUGGGGAUGACGUCAAGUCAUCAUGCCCCUUAUGUCCAGGGCUUCACACAUGCUACAAUGGCCGGUACAAAGGGCUGCGAUGCCGUGAGGUGGAGCGAAYCCUUUCAAARCCGGUCUCAGUUCGGAUCGGGGUYUGCAACUCGACCCCGUGAAGUCGGAGUCGCUAGUAAUCGCARAUCAGCAACGCUGCGGUGAAUACGUUSCCGGGCCUUGUACACACYGCCCGUCACRWCAUGAAAGUCGGUAACACCCGAAGCCGGWNGCCYA